CCAACCCGGGACUGAAACCUCCAAAACUGAGUUGCAGUCAACUUUUCCUCUUUCUCUGCUGAUUAUUUCAGGUCUCUUGUACUGACUGCAGUUGGGAGUGCUGUUUCCGGUUGUGUGGUUCAUGCCCCAGUGAUUCUGUGUACGUUCUCUCUUCGCUCUGAUAAUGUGCAUGUUCGUGAUGUGACAGCUGGACCGCCACAAGUGGCACCUGAAGAGCGACCUGAGUAUUGAGGGAUCCAGUGAAGGACACUGCAGAGAAGAAGGAGGCCUCAACGAAAAGGUAUUCUCCCUUCUCUUCUGCUCCACCUACUUAUGGUUACAGAUAUGUUUAUAGACCUACCACUAUCCCUGAACAGCUUGAAGCUGGGUCUCCACUGAGGAAACCAGAUUGGGACCUCAACAAUGAAGCAACAGAGAAAACUCCAGGAUGUGUC
This 434-nucleotide long non-coding RNA is filed under the name Fukomys damarensis (Damara mole-rat). RNAcentral's name for it is "lncRNA (ENSFDAG00000022721.1)". Lineage: Eukaryota; Metazoa; Chordata; Mammalia; Rodentia; Bathyergidae. The record is from RNAcentral.